Molecule: small RNA, 853 nt
Filed under: Vigna angularis var. angularis
Lineage: Eukaryota; Viridiplantae; Streptophyta; Magnoliopsida; Fabales; Fabaceae
Description: Non-protein coding transcript
Source: RNAcentral
UAUAUCAAUAAUAAUACGUUUAUGAAGCUUUGUCAUUCAGUCAUCAUGAUCUGAUUCACAUUUUUCAUAGACCAUGAUAUGCAUCUCAACAGAUUCAUGAGACAAGGCAAAAGUAUACACCAAGCAAUUACAAUAUCAAGCAACAACCAAAUGAUCAGAAUCGAACGCAUAUUUCAGGAGGAGAAUCAGCGUUUUAUCUUUGUUUCCAGAAACUAAGUCUCUUAAUCUCCGCUAAUUGUCUUGGUGAAUUAUUUUAAAAUCCUAUACACAAUUUUGUUUCAUUUCUUAACACGAAGAUAAUUUUGUUGUAUGUAUUUUGAAUCAUACGGGUUGUUGAUGUAUGUUUCUGCCUUGCCUCUUGAAUUUGUGAAUGGGAGCUAGAUUUUGUUGAAUAUCGUUGAUCUAAAAUUUAAGAAAAGAAAAGAGGUCUUGAUUUCCAAUAUGUCCUAUGCUGCAAGUUCUCUUUUGAAAUUGUUGUGCUGUUGUGAUACCUUCCGACUAACUCCAAAGAGAAAUGAAGGAAAUGGUUUUCUUCAUGUUUUAUUACUCCUUAGCCGUGCACCUUGAGUUAGAAAAUAGUCAUUUCUUGCUGAUAUCUUGAAUUAUUAUAUGCAUAUAAUAAGGGUAGAUCAUACUUUUUAGUGAUUCACAAAGGUUAAAACGUCCUUGACCUUGGUCCCGUUACUGUAUGAACCAUAUACCUCUUAAUAUAUUCCAUAACUGCUACACACAUACCUCAAUUAUUUUAUUUUGGGAAAUAUAAUAGGUAUGCAUGGUGUUAGGCAAGAAAAUCACGUGAAGAGCUUUAGGGUGGAGGAAUAUUCCAAGGUGUCUAUACUUUUUCAUUAUGGUG